RNAcentral lists this ribosomal RNA (510 nucleotides) under uncultured bacterium. RNAcentral's name for it is "partial 16S ribosomal RNA". It matches the Rfam family "Bacterial small subunit ribosomal RNA", at positions 28 to 507 of the family's 1533-position model. The record is from RNAcentral.
GACGAACGCUGGCGGCGUGCUUAACACAUGCAAGUCGAACGAAGAGCGACGGAAGCUUGCUUCUAUCAAUCUUAGUGGCGAACGGGUGAGUAACGCGUAAUCAACCUGCCCUUCAGAGGGGGACAACAGUUGGAAACGACUGCUAAUACCGCAUACGAUCUAAUCUCGGCAUCGAGGAUGGAUGAAAGGUGGCCUCUACAUGUAAGCUAUCACUGAAGGAGGGGAUUGCGUCUGAUUAGCUAGUUGGAGGGGUAACGGCCCACCAAGGCGAUGAUCAGUAGCCGGUCUGAGAGGAUGAACGGCCACAUUGGGACUGAGACACGGCCCAGACUCCUACGGGAGGCAGCAGUGGGGAAUCUUCCGCAAUGGACGAAAGUCUGACGGAGCAACGCCGCGUGAGUGAUGACGGCCUUCGGGUUGUAAAGCUCUGUUAAUCGGGACGAAAGGCCUUCUUGCGAAUAGAGAGAAGGACUGACGGUACCGGAAUAGAAAGCCACGGCUAACUACGUG